This 451-nucleotide ribosomal RNA is filed under the name uncultured bacterium. RNAcentral's name for it is "bacterial SSU rRNA". It matches the Rfam family "Bacterial small subunit ribosomal RNA", at positions 354 to 796 of the family's 1533-position model. The record is from RNAcentral.
GUGGGGAAUUGUUCGCAAUGGGCGCAAGCCUGACGACGCAACGCCGCGUGGAGGAUGAAGGUCUUCGGAUUGUAAACUCCUGUUGAUCGGGACGAAUGGCCUUUGGGUUAAUACCCCAGAGGAGUGACGGUACCGGUUGAGGAAGCCCCGGCUAACUCUGUGCCAGCAGCCGCGGUAAUACAGAGGGGGCAAGCGUUGUUCGGAAUUACUGGGCGUAAAGGGCGCGUAGGCGGCCAUCUAAGUCGGACGUGAAAUCCCUCGGCUCAACCGAGGAACUGCGUCCGAUACUGAAUGGCUUGAGUUCGGGAGAGGGAUGUGGAAUUCCAGGUGUAGCGGUGAAAUGCGUAGAUAUCUGGAGGAACAUCUGUGGCGAAGGCGGCAUCCUGGACCGACACUGACGCUGAGGCGCGAAAGCCAGGGGAGCAAACGGGAUUAGAAACCCGAGUAGUCC